CGGGACACGUGGUAUCCUGUCUGAAUAUGGGGGGACCAUCCUCCAAGGCUAAAUACUCCUGACUGACCGAUAGUGAACCAGUACCGUGAGGGAAAGGCGAAAAGAACCCCGGCGAGGGGAGUGAAAAAGAACCUGAAACCGUGUACGUACAAGCAGUGGGAGCACAGAGCAAUCUGUGUGACUGCGUACCUUUUGUAUAAUGGGUCAGCGACUUAUAUUCUGUAGCAAGGUUAACCGAAUAGGGGAGCCGAAGGGAAACCGAGUCUUAACUGGGCGUUAAGUUGCAGGGUAUAGACCCGAAACCCGGUGAUCUAGCCAUGGGCAGGUUGAAGGUUGGGUAACACUAACUGGAGGACCGAACCGACUAAUGUUGAAAAAUUAGCGGAUGACUUGUGGCUGGGGGUGAAAGGCCAAUCAAACCGGGAGAUAGCUGGUUCUCCCCGAAAGCU
RNAcentral lists this ribosomal RNA (449 nucleotides) under Escherichia coli. Its description in RNAcentral is "partial 23S ribosomal RNA". It matches the Rfam family "Bacterial large subunit ribosomal RNA", at positions 418 to 867 of the family's 2925-position model. Lineage: Bacteria; Pseudomonadati; Pseudomonadota; Gammaproteobacteria; Enterobacterales; Enterobacteriaceae. The record is from RNAcentral.